UACGUAGGGUGCAAGCGUUGUCCGGAAUUAUUGGGCGUAAAGAGCUCGUAGGCGGUUUGUCGCGUCGAAUGUGAAAACCCGGGGCUCAACCCCGGGCCUGCAUUCGAUACGGGCAGACUAGAGUUCGGUAGGGGAGUCUGGAAUUCCUGGUGUAGCGGUGAAAUGCGCAGAUAUCAGGAGGAACACCGGUGGCGAAGGCGGCAUCCUGGACCGACAUUGACGCUGAGGAGCGAAAGCUAGGGGAGCAAACAGG
Molecule: ribosomal RNA, 253 nt
Filed under: uncultured bacterium
Lineage: Bacteria
Description: partial 16S ribosomal RNA
Rfam family: Bacterial small subunit ribosomal RNA
Source: RNAcentral